UUGUAGUAGGUGGUGAGUAGUGAGAAAGAGUGUUGUUGGAGGAGCGAAAGGAGCAAAAGGAGCGAGAGAGGAUGUUGCAGGAGGUGUGAAAGAGGUGUAUUUGUGAUGUGAUUGAGGUAUAGGUAUAAUUUUAAAUAUGUGUGUUAUAUGUUGUUGUUAUUAUUUGUGUAUUUUAACUUUUGUAUUGUAUUUAAGUUAUUUUUAUGAUGCAAAAAUUGAAAUCAAUAGGUGGUUCCCGUUGAGUAUAAC
Molecule: long non-coding RNA, 249 nt
Filed under: Lathyrus oleraceus (garden pea)
Lineage: Eukaryota; Viridiplantae; Streptophyta; Magnoliopsida; Fabales; Fabaceae
Description: Pisum sativum (pea) long non-coding RNA (PSAT_LNC009296)
Source: RNAcentral